CCUACGGGUGGCAGCAGUGAGGAAUAUUGGUCAAUGGCCGGAAGGCUGAACCAGCCAAGUCGCGUGAGUGAAUAAGGCCCUAUGGGUCGUAAACCUCUUUUGUCAGGGAGCAAAGGCGUCCAUGAGUGGACGAAAGGAGAGUACCUGACGAAAAAGCAUCCGCUAACUCCGUGCCAGCAGCCGCGGUAAUACGGAGGAUGCGAGCGGUAUCCGGUUUCAUGGGGUUUAAAGGGUGGGUAGGCGGUGUGUUAAGUCAGCGGUAAAAUUUCGGGGCUAAACCCCGUUGUGCCGUUGAAACUGUCACGCUUGAGUGAGUGAGAGGUAAGCGGAAUGCGUGGUGUAGCGGUGAAAUGCAUAGAUAUCACGAGGAAGGCCGAUUGCGAAGGCAGCUUACCGGCGCUCAACUGACGCUGAGGCACGAAAGUGCGGGGAUCAAACAGGAUUAGAUACCCGGGUAGUC
RNAcentral lists this ribosomal RNA (460 nucleotides) under uncultured bacterium. Its description in RNAcentral is "partial 16S ribosomal RNA". It matches the Rfam family "Bacterial small subunit ribosomal RNA", at positions 338 to 795 of the family's 1533-position model. The record is from RNAcentral.